This is a long non-coding RNA of Passer domesticus (house sparrow), 14599 nucleotides long. RefSeq lists it as uncharacterized. The record is from RefSeq and is a predicted model, not a curated record. The transcript is spliced from 3 exons. NCBI's taxonomy places the organism in Eukaryota, Metazoa, Chordata, Aves, Passeriformes, Passeridae.
GUAGCGGGCCGGCGUGCUGAGGCUCUGCCGCACCCCGUAGCGCCCCUUGAAACCGUGAGACCACUCGCCGCGGUACAUCCACCUGCCCUUCGUCUCCACGCCCAGCCCGUGGCGCUUGCCCUGCGCCCAGUAGCCCAGGGGAGAGUUGGGCACCAUAACUGAUACUGCUGUUUCUUGUCAUCGUAAGAAGUGUGAGAUUCAAAGCUUUCUUUCUGUGCUGGAAAAGGAUUUCUAGUUCUGCUUGAACAUGUGGAAGACUGUGCACACGUUUGGACACAAACAUAAAAAGAGAAAAAGACACAGUCAAAGACUUGUGUCUUUUCACAAGAAGAUGGAGAAGCUUUCCAUGCCACUUUGAGCCCAGAAAAUUUUGUUCUGUAGUUUUGAAGUGUAGAAAACCAGACAGAAAUGUUGUUUCUCUAAGACAGAGGUGCAGUCUCUCAUGUAUCAUUGGACAAGGCUAUGAAGUGUGCUGAAGUUAAGGACUGAGACCUUCACUGCAAUAUGGUGUUUUUGGAAAGCUGUUAUUGAGAAUGGAGGGGAAGUCUGAAAAUGUUGUGGUGGGUGGGAUUGCUGAAGAAGAUACAGUGCAGUAUUCUCUGAGUAUUGCUUGAGCUUACUGAGUUUUAUGCCCUACGUGUCUUACAUUUCUUCCUCAAGAAAAAAAUUGGAAGCAAUAGUGGUGACAACCCAUGUGCUUUGAGGAGUUUACUAAUUUCAUUCUAUUCAUUUAUUUCCUGUUUUCUUUCUUCCAACAGAAGAUAAAGCCCUGUCAUGUUUGAGCAGAAUUACGGAAGAUUGAAACACUUUAUAUGGUUUGGGGAACCACUUGUUGGAAGUCAGCAUGCAUAAUAGGUGAUACUGGUAUAAAAUUUUCUAGGCAGUGAUGUUGCCUGUUCAUAAGUGCAUGUUAUUAUAUGAGCAGACUUUUUUGAAGUUGUCAUGAUUGAACUGGAGCUGCUGAGCAUUGGGUAUGUCUGUUACAGGGCUGCUGUUACUUUGCACGGUGUUUCUGGGUGCAGUGUGCAGAAAUGAGGUGGAAAGCCAGAAUUGUCUUGACAACAGUUCUGUGCCCUGUGCACAGCUGGAACACAACCAGCACGGAGGGGAGCAGAGGUGGGGUGUGAAAAUGGAUUAGCAAAUGCAGACAGUACACCUUGGCAAUGGAAGAGGUUGGUCUGAUGAGGGAAUGGGAGAUUUACAGCUCCUCUGUGGAUCUCAGCUGUCUCUUUGAAGGACCAGCUGUGCCACUUUCCCUGAUGGCCUAGACAAUAAUCACAGUUGUGCAAGUCCUUUGCCAAGCUGGGUAUCACUUUUGGCUCGGUAUUGGUGAAUAAAUGAAUUUGCUGUUGUAAAGACUUGGGUAAUUACGCUUACUGUACUGUUACUUAGCAAUGAAUUGUUUAUCCUUAAAGCUGUUGAUGUUCUGUCUCUUAGGGUAUCCCAAACGUAUAGCUAAUUGGGGCUGCCUUAGGUUCUUACAUCUGUACAGUAGAAGAUUGCAAAAAUUAAAUAGGCAUCUGCCUAUUAGUCCUCUGGUUUACCCCCUUGAUUUAAAUUUUCCAGGUUUUAAUACUAGAUUAGCUGAACCAACAAGAUCAGGUGGGCCAGAGAUGAUCAGUGAAACUUUCAGAAAGGAAUCAUAUUAUUUUUCUUCUGUUUUCACAUAUGUGUCAGUGGGUCCUUUUUUAGUGACCUGCAAAUCAGUGGUAAUUUUGCAUGUGGUUGGUACUUCCAGGUGUACUUAUUUAAAUGAAGUGAUCAGUUUAAAUGAGCUUGAUUACAACAUGAAUUCAUCACUGCCAGACUUCUCUUCUUUUACUUUUUGCAGGGGAUACAUUUUAAUAGAUAUGAAAAUAGAAGUGCUUUGCAGAGAACUCCCAGCAUCGCUUAGCCAGGUCUGAUGAUGUAAGAAGCCACAGGUGUCUCAUUACUGAUGAAGUUGUAGAUUUAUUAUUUGUUUUUUUGGUUGGGUUUUGGUUUUUUGCAGAUAGAUUUUGCAUUGACGAGUCUCAGCUUCAGUUUAGGCUGCGUCAUAUUUGCUUCUGGCCAUGGUGUAAGUAACACUCAUAUGCAACCUUUAGCAUGUAUAUGUUAAAUACCUUAGAUCCACAGAUUUUGCUUCCUUUGCUUCUUCCCAGAAUUAAAUUAAAAAUUAUUCUACAACUUCAUAGAUGCAGGAAGUAAGCAGUUACAGAUAUAUAAAUGAGUUUCUCUUUUGUCCAAAGUAAAUGGAAUUACUUCCACUACUUUUUUAAUCUAAUUUACAAGAGUUCUUUUCUGAAAUAUUUCAUGCAUGUAACACUCAAAAAAUACAAGGACCAGGUGCAGUUUAUUUAUUAUUUACAAAAGAGUCAUCACAGCACCAGGUCUGAUGACACUAUAUGUAUAUGCAAAACAUGAGUGCCUGAUGACACAGUAUGUAUGCAAAAACUGUGCUGCAGGGUUAUAUUUAAAAAGGUCCUUGCUGUAGGGAUGGUAGAUGCAGCAGGUGAAGACACACUAACUCCAGACAUUUAAUAUUAACUGGAUACAAAACUGCUGAGUUUAAAUUAUUAGUCUAUAGAUAUCUGAUGCAUAAUAAAAAUUAGGCACAUUUAUUCUUGCUCUUAAAAGCCUGAUUCAGCAGGGAAUUACUUUAAGUACUUUAGUAAUCCCAUUUACUUCAGUGGGACUACACAUGAGCUUUAAAUUAAACAUCUGCAAGAUAUCUGUGCUCAAAUAAAGCAAAGCUCUGAAGUCUGUUCUCAAGUGUUUUGCAGAAUGGAGGCAGGAUGUUUCACUGAUGAGCUGCACGCCUCACACGUUGUAUUGGAGGAGUUCACACUCAAAACUGCUGUGUGGGAGGCAGAAAUACAGAAGUAAAGGUAGUACAAAACUCACAGCAUAGAAAUUUCAAAGGCAAAUAGGUCUUUUCUGGCUCCAUAGGAACAGCCACUUUUAUAUCAAAUUUUGUGUCAGGAGUAUGAGUUGGAGUUUUUAAACAUAGUUCUUGUACAACUUUAACACAAAUAAUUUUGUGUGACUUCUAGAACAGGAACAUAACACUUUUUUCUUAUACACCGUAAAUCCAUGUAAGUUAGUGUAAAUACUGAAGCAGUAAUUCCAGAGGAUGUUUUUUUUCAAAAAAUCUGCUAUAAUAUUUGAGCAACACUGUGUUAUGAAUCUGCUCUCCUAGGUGUAUCAGUCAGUUCUGCCUCACAGCUGAAGCUUGGACCUGGUCAGUAAGACAGUAUAUUUAAUUCCAGAGAUAUUGUUCUUACUCAGUGAAUACAGUUAUUAUUUUCUUUGCAAAAGUGCUGAUAAAGCUUAUAAAAAACAAAAAUACAGAUCCUAUUCUAACUUGAAAACAAGAUGAGUAUGUUCUGUACCCAGACUUCUAUUUUCAGCAUUGUUCCAAGCAACUGAAUUAGAUUUGUUAUAAAAAUGCAGUUUACUUUUUUUAAGGAAAUGCAGCAUUUAUGUUGAGCACCUUUGUCUCUGAAGUGAUUUGAACAGUAACAGAAAUCUCUGUUCAGAUAAGGUACAGUGUGUUGAAAUGAUUUUUUUUUCUAAGUAUAAAGAUACUACAAUAUUUUAUUAUAGUGGAAAAAAUAUAUUGUUCCUGGAUCUUGUCAACAUUUGGAGUUGUGUUGAGUUUGGUGUUUUUUAUAUAUAUCUACAGAACAAAAAUUAGUGAAUCACUAUACCUUAAUCAAUUUAUAAAGAAAAAAAAAUCUAAGUCAUUAUGUAUUUUAUUUUAUAAUAUUUGAUAUGAGGAAAAAUGUCAUAUCAGUGAUUACCCUAAAUUAGCAUUCAUAUUAUAUAGGUUAUUGUUAUAGGAGUAUACCUAGAAAAUCAGAUAUAUCCCAAGUAAAUUUUUCCUAAAUGGUGAUAGGAAUUGUGCAACUGCUAUAGUUCAAUCUUGUUUCCUUGGGGAAGAUGGGAAAGGUUUAUGGAUUUCCUCUUUGGAGCAAGUUCCCACUUCUUAAGAUGGCUUGUCUAGUCUUGCUUAAGCAUUUUUCUUUAGCCUAAGGAGGCUCUGUGAUGCAUUAUUUUCUUGUAGUCUUCAUUAUUGUCCCAGUUACUAUUGUCUGGACUUUAUCUAAUUGUGUUUUGUUAUUAGUUGCUAAAGUCUGAUUUCAAAUACAAACCACACUAUUUGGCUAAUAUUGUGUCAUAUUAAAAUAGCAUAAUUCUGUGUGACUCCCAAAAGACAUUAUUCUUUUUACACUGGUGCCAGGAAUCAGUAGUAUGAUGGUUCUGUUCUCUUCCACUCAACAAGACGGUGUGUAAAAAUGCAUCUUCAGUUUGUGAUUUACUGUUGUCCUAAUCCUGUCCCAUAGAACACUGUUUAACUAGUUGCUUCCCACUUUCUAUUAGUGAAGUUGAGUUUCACUUAGCAGGCUUUCACCAGCACACUCUUUUUUUCCACUUUGAGAUUAUACUCCCAAGUUAAGUUAAUUUUCAGUUUUAAUUCCACAGGAAUUGCAGUUCCUCACAAGUUUUUAACAGUUUGCACAUUUGCAUGUGCAAUAACUGAACUUUCCAAGAUCAAGGUUAUUCAUGAAGGUAUUGAAUUUUAAAGCCUUUGGUACAAAUUUAGCAUUUCAUACAUCCUUUAGGCUUGGGACUUAAUAAUUAUUAACCAUUACUUCAUAACUAUAAACAAAGUGUAGUCUCUUACAGCUUGACUUAGAUCACGUUUAACAAACAUCAGCAGCUUUGCUGAAGUCAAAAUACAUAAUAUCUCUUUUAGUGAAGGCUGAAACAGAAAAGCUUUUAGCACUUUGGUUUAUCUCACUGAUGUGGCUGAAAGCUUUUUCUCCUCAUUGAGCAGCGGCACAGCCCUUCCCUUCGCCGUCCUCCUCUAGGGCUGUCUCAGUUUCCUUUUCUGUUCCUUACUAAGACUCAUUCUGUGAUUUGGCCUUUCUGAUUUUGCCCCAACAUACUUGCACUCUUCCCUAAAAUUCCCUUUAGUAAUCUGACCUACUUUUUACUUGUGUAUGCUUCCUUCUAGUGUUUCAGGACCCUUGAAGAGCUCUCGAUUUAGUCAAGUUUUAUCUCAUCAUGCCCAUCUUACUUUCCUUUUUCAUCGAGGUAGUUUCUGUUUAUGCCCUUCACACAAUUUUCACAUUAUAUUCACAUUAUAUUUGCAGAUUUCUGUCUUUGGACUUUAUAAUAAAAUAAAACCUAGUAGAGAGCAAAUCUUAAGUUUGUCUUUUUUACAGGGCAGUCUUGGCAGACAUUGGCUUGAGAUAUUCUCAUGCCCCCAACCCUCUGUGCUGCCAGCACAACUGUUUCUUCAGUGAGCUGUGAUUUGGAUCAGGAAACCAAUCCAGCUUAAAAAUAAUCCAGCAGAAAGAUUUAUUUUUAUUUUGCUCUUAAAGCUGAAUCCUUUGCUCUGUUUGCAGAACAUCUAUGCAAACAAUUGCCCUAAUGCAAUUGAAAGCGUACAGAAAAGCUGGCAGCUUUACUGUUCACCUUGUUUGUUUGUAAUUCCAUUCUCUUUUUCUAGGAAUUACAAAUAACAUUUUCCCCAUAAUCUUUCACCCAAGUUCCCCUCAGUCUUGCACUUUCAGUCAGUUUGCCUGCUGUUGAUUAAAAAAGAAGAGAUAUUCCAGAUUUGAUGUAGUCACAUAUCUGCUCAGUAACAAAACUUUUCUCUGUACAACGGUCUUCCAGUACCUGAGGGAAGGCUACAAGAAGCAUGGAGACUACAUAAAAGAGUAUGUAGUGACAGGCCAAGGGGGAAUGGCUUCAAACUGAAAGAAAGUAGCUUUAAGUUAGAUAUAGGAAGAAAUUAUUUACUGUGAGGUGGGUGAGGCACUGGAACAGGUUGCCCAGAGGAGCUGUGGGCUCCCCGUCCUGAGAAAUGUUCAAGGCCAAGUUGGAAGUGGCUCUGAACAACCUGGUCUAGUGGAAUGUGCCCCUGCCCAUGGCAGGGAUGUUGGAACUGGGUGGUCUUUUAAGGACCCUUCCAACCCAAGCCAUUCUAUGAUUUUGUACUAUAAUGAUCCUGUAGGACCUUCCCAACAGGUCCCUUGGUUGUUGAAGUCCCCCAUGUUCAUCCUGUUCAGUGCUUUGAUGAUCUAGCAGCAGCACCCAAAGCUCCUGAGUCCUGCAUUGCCAUGUCCUACAGAUUUUCAAGGUGCCUGAGGAGGACCAAAACCUGAUUGAAGCUUUUCUAAUUGUCUGGAGGAUUCAUAUUAACUCUCACAUCAGAUAAGAAUUUGGGUUGUUAAAUGUUUAUUUGUUAGUGAUGUGCAAAGCCCCUCUUUUGCCUGAAUCUGUACUUUGUGGCUUUCCUAUUUUUAAGUUGUAGAAAUAGCAUUAUUUUGAGAUCUUAAUUUCUCUAGUAAUUUUCAUGUAAAUUAGCUAGUGAAUGAAAUCAUUUUCAUACAUGCUGCUAUAAUACCUUAGGAAACAAAAGUUCAGUGGCCUUCCUGCUCACCAUAGUGCUAUUUUUCUGAAUACCUCUAUUGAGAGUUCUAUACCACUUAUAUCUUCCCAGAAAUCUAGGCUUUUUGCCAUGUUUUAGGCCACUUAUUAAUUUAAAAUCCUCCUUUAUUAGUUAGCAUUUUCAUCACCAGUGAUUACAGACCUUCAGAGAGCUCUGGUGAAGAGAAUUCCUUCACCAGACAGACAACUCCACAGUGUUUCUGUCUCAUGUGACUCCAGUGAAGGAGACCAGAGCUGUGCAGGUCACACCAGGAGACCUUUGCAAUGGUGAGUACUCCUCAAAGAAGGCAGCCAUCCCAGCUUCCAUAGGGAUCACAGUUCUUCAGCUACUCCCUGGAGCUUGCAGUUCCUUAUGAUCUGCCUUGAUUUUAUCAGCUAAAUUUUAUCAGGCAUAAGGAUGAGGCCAUAUGUCUGUCUGCAUUCACUAAUUUUGUCUUAACACGGGAUGCCUUGUGAAUUUCUUUGUUUUUUUUCUUAUAAAAAUUGAUUUUUUAAAAAAUUGAGUGGUGAUAAAUUAAUGUUAAAAUUGCAAUUAGAUAUGAUAUUUCUAAUUUUAAAAGACCUUUUGAAGGUUUUGGCUGAUGUCACACUCCUGUUUUGCUGUACUGGAUCAGAACAAGCAACUGUUGCAUUUCACCAAUGAAUUAGUGUUGGUGCUUCUUAUACAUCAGAUAAUUGGUUCUUCUGAGUGAAUCCAUUUGCAAAAUUAAAUGAAAAUCACUGUCAUUCUAAAUAUGACAGUGUUUUGGGUUUGUUGGUGGUUGUUUUGUUUUUGGUUUUAUGGGGUUUUUUCUUUUUUUUUUCUUCAAUUUAUGAUGGAGAAAACAAGACAAAUGGUACCAGAGGUGCAAAAGCUGAGAGGUUUUUUUGCUGUUCAAUACUGAAUGUAAUAUGGAUAUUUUGGGUACAGUACAGUCACUUUUGAGAUAUGUUUCCAUUAACAAAGUCUACAACAGAGGAAUUGAGCUUUAGAGGACAUUACCAUAGGGCUAAGCAGGCUGUGCCGCAAAGACCAUUAAUAGAAAGCCACUCCCUCAAUCUGCUUAAACUUUGGUGAGGAUAAUGCGGCUUACUCUAACUGAUUUUUGAUAAAACAGUAAAAGACAAACAGAUGCUUGUUAUGCCUGAGUUGAGAAGUGCACCCAAUUGAUAAGUUUCACCUGCUUCUUCAGGGAUAUUUAUGCCAUGGAAGAAAAUUUUUCUCACCACAGCUAACAUACAAGUCAAAUAUCUUAAUGUGUUUUGAUAUUUAAGUUUAUAUAAAAGAAUACAGCAAGGGUUAGUGCAUCAUAAUCAGCCUAACCACUGAAUUAAAUCUCCCAGCUGCUAUGAGAUUUCAUUUAUUCUUCAUUUGCUUCUCUUCUGUUGGCCAUUUCAGUGUUUGUGACAUAAUGUCAUGAUGUUUUUAUAUGAUGAAGUAACCCUUUCCCUGUGUGGAUUACAGUAUCAGCCCCCUCUGCAUCUUGAAAACUGGCUUCUUAACAAGUGCACUUAUCUGUAAUACCACAUUGGUGCAAAAUGGUUUUCUAUUUGUCCACUGAAAUUCCACUUAAAAAUUAGAUUCUGCACUUUGGAAGACACAAACAACAAUGCAGAAUUUUGAAUAUCUGUCUCUGUGUUGUGCAGGUGCAGAACCAUUUUUAUGCUCUUGGUGAAUUCACAUGAAUUCGUGUUUGCAGCUCUGCAUGUGAAUAAGUUAUGUAUAUCUGUGUUAUGUGUUUCUGGCAAGUACAAGAUAGGCAUUGGAUAAAUUAGUGUUUGCAGUAUUUUUUCCUAAAAACAAACUGUAUGAUUUGGAGAAUUUUAAGCCUUAAGUUUUGUUUAAAGGUAAUCUCUUCCUCUUUUUUUAAUCUCGGUGGAGUCUAAACCAGAUUUUGUGUCUUUGUAUGUACUUUGAGAUUUUUGUAUGUACUUUGAUUUUUAUCAAAAUAUUCUUUAGAAACUGCUGUUGUCAUAGUAAGUAAAAUAUUUUUAUGUAGAAGUUUAUGAUCUUGUACAAAAGGUCCUUUAUGAAAAAUUAUCCAUUAUUUGAGUUUUUGUAAAUCACCUAUACUUUGUAUUAAGUAUGUAAUGGUGGAAUUUAGUCUAAGAUUUCUGCAGAAUAUAAAAAUAUCUCUGACAGUGUCUGUUCUAAUCAUGGAAUGUAUGUCUUCCUAAUAACAGUGUAUUUGAAAAACAAUUAUAUGAUGUUCUCUUAUGUCUGAAUGCAUAAUGAAUGUAAUUGACUUACAGAAUUAUAAUUUGUUUUUAGUUAGGCAUGUAUUCAUCACUGAAUCGUUCACUUGUAGGUAUGCCUAAAAUCACCAUUGUGGAGAUCACCUUAGUUUCUGUUUUAGGUUGUUAAUUAAAAAAGUUGUCACUGACCUGCAUGGUAUUUCAUUAUGUUAGGUACAAAGUAUUUGUUUAUGUUUGGUACAAUUUUUUUUUCAGCCGAUAUGAGAAGUAAAAUUGAUUUUGAAGUUGUCUUAUUUCAUGUGAUAAUAGCAGAAAUUAUGUUAGUUCACCCACAGUUAUCUAUCUGCUAUUUUUGCUUAUAAGGAGUUCUGCCCUGAAAAAAAAAAAAUUAACAGAGCUGGAGGACUAUUUCUGCGAUACAACAUGCUAAAGUUAGAAACUGAGAGUUGCAGUUUUGUCUUCACUUGUAAAGGGAUAUAGUUUUGUUUUUAUGUAAAUUUGAGACUGCAUUUUCUGUCUAACGAAACUGUAAAUCAGAUUUUAUUUUUACCAGCUGAUUGCAUAUUUGCAAAAUUGGGCCAAAUUAAAUAUUUUAAAAAUUUCAGCCAGUUUUGAAAAUUUAUGAUGUCAGGGUGUUCUUACCUUAAAUUUCAGUAACCAGAAAGGGAAUGAAUCUGGCACCGUGCAACUUUGUGAUUCUCUAGUUCUAGAGCUGAAAAUGAUUUGUGUAGGUUUAAUGGACAAAAAAAAAAAAAAAAAGAAAAGGUGAUCUUUUCUGUGCCAUUUGGUGUCAGUGGCAUGUUUCUAGAUUAAAAAAAAUUGUGUGAAAAAUGUGCAUGUUAUUUUAAUCAGAAAUUUUGUUGUGUUUUUCACGUGUUUGGGUUUUUAAAAUUUUUCCUCCUUUCUCUUACAAAGUCUAGCACAGAUAGGUUGGGUUUAAUCAAUGACUGGAAGUGCCUGGCUCAUUCUUCUGGCUAUUGAGUGAGUUUCAGUUUGUAAACUAAUUUGCCUGAUUUUGGAAGAGGUGCACAUUUGCUUUAACAAUUGUACAAUUGCUACAUGCACAAUUGCUUUAACAAAUACAGUAUUUUCCCCUCUACUUUCACAGUUUUUGAGACACACAGCUGCUGUCCACAUUUGGAAGAGCUGUGCAGAGCUGGAGCCUACUGUGUUGCCAUGUCCUGAGUUAAGAGUUCAUUUAUGGGGACAAAUAAGCUUGUGCCCCCAUAAUAAUUUGAAUUAUUUUAUGAGAUGUCUGACAUGGAGUGAGAUUUCAAGGAGUCUAAUUGAAAUAUUUUGCAUGUUACUCUCCAGCUUGCACAAAAGUAAUGAGCAAACAGCAAGAACUAAAGCUGAAGAAACCAGAAUUUCCUUUUUUAAAUAACAGCUGUAUUUCUAUGUUGUCACCGUGAUUGGAAAUGGAUCUUCCUUAGUGACCCCUAUUUUUUUACUUGUCAAUAACAAGGUGUGGAAGUACGUGAUUAUGUUUUAAAGCAUCUUAGAGCUAUUUUUCUGAGCAGUUUGCUGGAAAAAGAUUAAAUGUUUAAACUUAUUUACAAAUUAAUUUAUCAAAGUGUUCACAUUUCCAGUAGAAAUUGUAACAAGAUUUUUAGAAAUUUUUGAAAAUUGUUUAAGUUUGGGUUUGUUUCAGGGAUGGAAAUAAACUGAUUUCUAUAAUUUUUCAGGAAAUAUUAUAAAACUGUUUUGCAGUCAAAAAUGGAAAUACCAUGAGACUUCAGAGGACAUUUUACAAAAUUGUAUUUAACUCCUUAGGUUUUCUUAAGGCUUUCUGUGUUUGGGUGUCAUCCAGUUACUGGAUAUUUAUAUUUUACAGUGUGAUGGUAAUAGAAUCUGAACUGGCCUAAGAGCUGGUACAGGGCCCACUGAAGCCAGUACAAAUCACCUCUCUAACUUUGGUGGACUUUGCUUCAGCAUCUGUCCAAUCUAUUUUACAAGGUCAGAGUUGAGCACUCUGGUUUUGGCCACAGGCAAUAAUAGGUGGAAGCUGGAAUAUUUCUUACAUUCAUUGUUUGUGUUGUGGUAAUAUGUGAAUUUUAAUGGGCAACCAAAAGCCAAUGUGCCAGACAGUGCUGUGCAAACAAAAUGUCAUCACUGUUAGAUUAAAACCAGAAUAAAUAUCAACACCUGGAUGGUAUGCACAGGGGUACAAAGUUUUCACUGUUGUGGGUGACUUGUCUAAGUUAGUGUGAGGGAAGAAGAAACAUGUGAAGUGAUGACACAGAAUUGUUCCUAAAAGCUUGGUAAUGAUCCAGGUUUGUGAGCCAGCAUAUUACACAUGUGCACAGAGACAACAAACGUGGGCAAGUAUAAAAAAAGUUUUAAAUAGUUUGAAUUUGGCCGAUAUGUUAGAUUUUAUAGUAAAGAUGCUGUUUACAUAAAAGCUUGAGGAGGGAUAGACUCGAUAAAGCUUUAGUGUUAAUACCUGGAUUUUAAGGUUUAUGACUAAGAAACUGCAUUUUUUUCACCUUAUGAAAAUAUAUUAAAUCUCUUUCUGUGUGUGCAUUAAAAACCUUAUAUUUCAGGAAAAUUCAUUCUAAUCAAAACUGUUGAGAUUUAUAAAUCAUGUAUGAUGUGUUAAGUAACUUUGAAAAUGACUAAAUAAAUUCUAUUAUAAGUUGAUUUUGUUGGAUGUAAAAUGGUAACUGACAAAUUAUAUUUCUUGAGAACAUGAAUCAGCUAUCUACAAUUGCCACCACUCCAUGGUUUUAUAUGCAGUUAAAUUAGGGCACAGUCUCAACUGUGACUAUCAAGACAUAAUGCUGCUCUCACUCUUUCUAUAUAGUUGCAUAUCUAAUUUUUCGGUCAUGUUAAAGAAAGUUCUUGUGCAUUCUUAUGUCAGUAUUAAGUCUCAGCUGUGUACCUGAGUUCAGUGCUAUGUUGUUUUGACUCAUAUCAUCAUCAGUAAAGCAGCAUCUGCCAGUGGAAUUUAAUCAAUAACCAUUGAUGACAGAAGGUCCAGAACAGAACCUGCCUUACUUUUCCAACAAGUAUUAACUCCUGCAACACUGUCAAUUAGGCUGGCUCUGCACUUGGAACUGAACCAAUGUGUCUGUUAAUGAUUCAUAAACAGAAUCCAGCUAAUUUUCAGCUAUAAUGGCUCUUGGCUGCAUAGAAAAAAAAAAAAAUUCCCCCCCCUGUAGUCUAAUAUGUUUGGGUUUCAAUAGGCUCAAUGAAUUGAUCUGAUCAGGAAAAAAAACAGUUGCUUUUUUUUAACUUGCAUCAAUUACUUUAAUGACACAUCUGACCUAUGUGUUUCCUGUUAAUAACAUGGAGUGAAGGGUGAAGUAAAGAAGAAAACUGAUUACCAGAAUUCUGAUUUCCAGAUCUUUCACCCAUUUUAUAUAACUGUUUAUAACUGUUUAUCAAAAUGUUUUUAUUUUUUAGCGUUAGCUGUAAAUGUUAUUUUCCUUCCAUGAUAUAAAAAUAUGUGCAUUAAAAAAAAACUUCUAGAGGGGCGUGCAUAUAUGCAUAUAUUUUUGUAAACAUAUAUAGGAUGCCAAAAAAGGCCCAAGAGAGGCCAUGCAGAGAAACAGGGCAAGAACAUCAGUGUGAUAGGAAAAAUUAUUUAUCUCACAGAUCUGAGGGUCUGCUUGAAGCCACAAGUUGCCAAGAUGCCAGUCAGAUUUGCAUUUGUGCUUUUUGUGUAUUUAUGGCCCAAAUUAAACAUGCCUUAAGGAGACUUUUAUUUCGGUUGUGUAAAUGCUUGUGGAACAAGGUGUUCCAGGUUGUGGUGAGCUUUUUCAUAUGCUGGCCCUUUUGCUUGCUUUUCUGUGGGUAUGAGAAAGGUAGAAGGGCAAACAUAGGUGGAUGGAUAGGUGCUGGUUCUGAAGAGAAAGGAAUUGUUCGUCCCUUUUUCUUCAUCUCUGGAAGAAGGAAGGUUCUAUGCAGCGUGUUUGGGAAAAGGGAGGCCUCGUGUGGCCAGGCCUGGGAACGGCGCUGUCGGCCUGGAGGGGUCCCGGCCGCAGGCAGCCGCUCCUUCAGCGGAACCAGGGCUAUAAACAUGGACAUCGGGGUGGUAUUUAUCAGGGAAUCAUAGAAUGGCCUAGGGUGGAAGGGACCUUACAGAUCAUCCACUUCCAACACCCCUGCCAUGGGCAGGGACACCUUCACUAGGCCAGGUUGUUCAGAGCCACUUCCAAUGUGGCCUUAACAUUUCUUGGGAUGGAGAACCACAGCUUCUCUGGGCAGCCUGUUCCAGUGCCUCACCACCCUCACAGUAAAGAAUCUCAUCCUAAUAUCUAAUCUACUUUCUUUCAGUUUGAAGCCAUUCCCCUUUGUCCUGUCACUCCAAGCUCUUGUAAAAAGUCCCUCUUAGUCUUUCCAGUAGACUCCCUUCAGGUACUGAAGGCCAUCAUUUGGCAGCCUGUAAGCCUUCUUUUUUCCAGGGUGAACAAUCCUAAUCCUCCUAGUGUUUCCUCAUAAGAGAGGUGCUCCAUCCCCAAAUCAUCUGGUCCUCUGGACCUGCUCCAACUGGUCAGUAUUUUUCUGUAUUUCACAGCAAUAUGGAUGACUAGGUUAGGAGGAAGGAUCGCCUGUAUGUGAUUGCAGCUCUUUGGUCCUUCUUUCUUUAUUGUGUUAUAAGAUAGAUACAUUUCCUUGCCUUUCUAGACAUGUAAACCAUGUAAAAAAAUCAAACACAGAAGUACAUGUGUGAUAUUAAAUAAAUUAACUGUACCAAGAGAAGCAGGGUAGUGGUCUAUAUGGUAAUUGAUGAAAGGACAACACAACAUUUUGAUUAAAAGGCAAAAUGAACAAAAAAAAAAAAGCAAAGCGGACACCUGAAAGAGUGCCUAGUUCAUGUAAAUUUUAUAAAGUUCUUUCCCUUGAGUUACUGUAAAAUCUAGUUGUGAGGAACAGCUGUACAGCAGCCUAGGCAGGGAUCUAUGAAAUUAUCCAUUUAUUGGUGAGUCACAGGGUAAAGCCCUUGUGCAUGGGACGAUGUUCCAGCACUCUUACCUUAGACAUGUAUCUUAAAGAGAAGUAAAUCCAGCCAUAAGGCCAUCAACUGCAUUCUUGUGGUCAGUUCUAAGCACAUUCUCCAACUUUUUGAAGAAUAACAAUCAAAUUAAAUUCCCCCAAAUGUGGGAUUUGCCAUCAGUAACACUGAUUGAUAUCAGCUGGGAUUUGUGAGAAGCCUCUCACCAGGCAUAACCUUCUGAAGAGAUUAUUUUGGCUUGUGACUCUAGCAGGGAGUGGUCUCUGAGGAAGGCGUGGGCCUGCCCUUGUGCCCACUCCCAUGAUCAGUACAGGGCUGGAAGCUGGCUUUUUGUUUCUUCCUUUUUAUUUAUGAAGUUUGUCCAUUACCGUGUCUCAGUGACUUAAAUCCAUUCCCUUGCUCAACAUUAGUAAAAAUUUCCCUUAAUGUUCUUGUUAUUGGGAUACAGCUCUCAAUGUACUAGGUUCAGGUCUUUAAGAUACUGAUCAUGAGGUUCACCUGUUAUCCAGAAAUGGCACGUGGGACUGAGUUAUCAGGCUUACCUGAAAGAGUUGCCUUUUCUGGGAACUGAGCAGUCAGAAUGAAGAUAACAAUACUCUGCACUCUGUAAUCUCACUGUGCUUUUUAACUCUGCUAAAAUCUGCCUGCUGUUGCUGAUAGUGUCUAAUGUAUGAUCAGCAAUCACAUUUCUAAACUAUCUCCAGUGUAAGAUACAGAAGAGGCAUUUCCUGAUGAUGUAAGCCAUUGUUCACUAUCAAAUACUUUUCCAAAAGGUCCUUGCUUCACACAGGGAAAAUGAAAAAAGCCCUGCAAAACUGUUAGAUUUUCUAAUUUUGCCUAGAAAAAGAUAAUAAUUAAGAAACUUUCUCUCUUGAGAGUGAAAAAAGUUAUUUGAAAGCUUUGUUUCUUCUUGUUAUGAUUCAUUUUGCAAUUGAGGAUAUAUGCCCGCAAGGUCCAAUUCAGGAUGACUUAUGGGUGGGUUUUUUUGGUGUUUUUUGGUUGUAUUUUUUGUUGGUUGCCUUUUUU